This 509-nucleotide ribosomal RNA is filed under the name uncultured Acidobacteriota bacterium. RNAcentral describes it as "bacterial SSU rRNA". It matches the Rfam family "Bacterial small subunit ribosomal RNA", at positions 395 to 896 of the family's 1533-position model. The record is from RNAcentral. Lineage: Bacteria; Pseudomonadati; Acidobacteriota.
CGCCGCGUGGAGGAUGAAGAUUUCGGAUCGUAAACUCCUGUCGAAUGGGACGAAUAGAUUGCGGGUUAACAGCCCGCGGUCCUGACGGUACCGUUAAAGGAAACCCCGGCUAACUCCGUGCCAGCAGCCGCGGUAAUACGGGGGGGGUAAGCGUUGUUCGGAAUUACUGGGCGUAAAGGGCUCGUAGGCGGCCAACUAAGUCAUGCGUGAAAUCCCUCAGCUUAACUGGGGAACUGCGUGUGAUACUGGAUGGCUUGGAUCGGGAGAGGGAUGCGGAAUUCCAGGUGUAGCGGUGAAAUGCGUAGAUAUCUGGAGGAACACCGGUGGCGAAGGCGGCAUCCUGGACCGAUAUUGACGCUGAGGAGCGAAAGCCAGGGGAGCAAACGGGAUUAGAUACCCCGGUAGUCCUGGCCCUAAACGAUGAAUGCUUGGUGUAGCGGGUAUCGAUCCCUGCUGUGCCGAAGCUAACGCAUUAAGCAUUCCGCCUGGGGAGUACGGUCGCAAGGCUG